UACGUAGGCAGCGAGCGUUGUUCGGAGUUACUGGGCGUAAAGCGUGCGUAGGCGGUCUCAUAAGUCUGUUGUGAAAUCUCCCGGCUCAACUGGGAGGGUGCGGUGGAAACUGUGAGGCUGGAGUAUGGGAGAGGUAGGCGGAAUUCCUGGUGUAGCGGUGAAAUGCGUAGAUAUCAGGAGGAACACCAGUGGUGUAGACGGCUUACUGGACCAACACUGACGCUGAGGCACGAAAGCGUGGGGAGCAAACAGG
This 253-nucleotide ribosomal RNA is filed under the name uncultured bacterium. Its description in RNAcentral is "partial 16S ribosomal RNA". It matches the Rfam family "Bacterial small subunit ribosomal RNA", at positions 524 to 776 of the family's 1533-position model. The record is from RNAcentral.